UAAAGCUUUAGGUCAGGCAUGGUGA
This 25-nucleotide non-coding RNA is filed under the name Mus musculus (house mouse). The record is from RNAcentral. Lineage: Eukaryota; Metazoa; Chordata; Mammalia; Rodentia; Muridae.